This 269-nucleotide ribosomal RNA is filed under the name uncultured bacterium. RNAcentral's name for it is "partial 16S ribosomal RNA". It matches the Rfam family "Bacterial small subunit ribosomal RNA", at positions 28 to 295 of the family's 1533-position model. The record is from RNAcentral.
GACGAACGCUGGCGGCGUGCUUAACACAUGCAAGUCGAGCGGUAAGGCCCUUUCGGGGGUACACGAGCGGCGAACGGGUGAGUAACACGUGGGUGACCUGCCCUCAGCUCUGGGAUAAGCCUGGGAAACCGGGUCUAAUACUGGAUAUGACUCCAUGACGCAUGUUGGUGGGGUGGAAAGCCUUGUGCGGCUGAGGAGUGGGCCCGCGGCCUAUCAGCUUGUUGGGUGGGGUGANGGCCUACCAAGGCGACGACGGGUAGCCGGCCUGA